Molecule: ribosomal RNA, 475 nt
Filed under: Bacillus sp. enrichment culture clone A4l
Lineage: Bacteria; Bacillati; Bacillota; Bacilli; Caryophanales; Bacillaceae
Description: bacterial SSU rRNA
Rfam family: Bacterial small subunit ribosomal RNA
Source: RNAcentral
UUGCUUCUAUGCGUUACGGCGGACGGGUGAGUACACGUGGGCACCUGCCUGUAAGACUGGGAUAACUUCGGGAAACCGAAGCUAAUACCGGAUAGGAUCUUCUCCUUCAUGGGAGAUGAUUGAAAGAUGGUUUCGGCUAUCACUUACAGAUGGGCCCGCGGUGCAUUAGCUAGUUGGUGAGGUAACGGCUCACCAAGGCAACGAUGCAUAGCCGACCUGAGAGGGUGAUCGGCCACACUGGGACUGAGACACGGCCCAGACUCCUACGGGAGGCAGCAGUAGGGAAUCUUCCGCAAUGGACGAAAGUCUGACGGAGCAACGCCGCGUGAGUGAUGAAGGCUUUCGGGUCGUAAAACUCUGUUGUUAGGGAAGAACAAGUACNAGAGUAACUGCUCGUACCUUGACGGUACCUAACCAGAAAGCCACGGCUAACUACGUGCCAGCAGCCGCGGUAAUACGUAGGUGGCAAGCGUUU